This 256-nucleotide long non-coding RNA is filed under the name Capsella rubella. Its description in RNAcentral is "long non-coding RNA (CRUB_LNC004819)". The record is from RNAcentral. Lineage: Eukaryota; Viridiplantae; Streptophyta; Magnoliopsida; Brassicales; Brassicaceae.
CGCUUUUGUAAUUUCAUGUUGUGAUGUUAUUAAGGUUUGUUCAGACGUAAGGUUUUUAAAGGUUGAUAAGUCAUAAUAAUGGAGUCAGUUUUUUCUCGAAAGAAAACUUAACGUAUUUUUUUUUUGUUUUUGGUCAUAUUCUUUAUUCGUUGCUAGUUUCCCCACUUUCUUUCAUUUUCCAUUUGAUAAAAAAAUUUAUAAAUUGAAAUAAUAGUGGUUUUCAAACUUAAUCACAUUAUUCAUAUUUGCAAAUAUG